AGUUUUCGGACAACGGAAGGUGAGGACAGUGGCGGACGGGUGAGUAACGCGUGAGGAACCUGCCUUUCAGAGGGGGACAACAGUUGGAAACGACUGCUAAUACCGCAUAAGCGCACAGCUUCGCAUGAAGCAGUGUGAAAAACUCCGGUGGUACAAGAUGGACCCGCGUCUGAUUAGCUGGUUGGUGAGGUAACGGCCCACCAAGGCGACGAUCAGUAGCCGGCCUGAGAGGAUGAACGGCCACACUGGAACUGAGACACGGUCCAGACUCC
This 272-nucleotide ribosomal RNA is filed under the name uncultured Eubacteriales bacterium. RNAcentral describes it as "uncultured Clostridiales bacterium partial 16S ribosomal RNA". It matches the Rfam family "Bacterial small subunit ribosomal RNA", at positions 71 to 339 of the family's 1533-position model. The record is from RNAcentral. Lineage: Bacteria; Bacillati; Bacillota; Clostridia; Eubacteriales.